Molecule: non-coding RNA, 205 nt
Organism: Caenorhabditis elegans
Lineage: Eukaryota; Metazoa; Nematoda; Chromadorea; Rhabditida; Rhabditidae
Source: Ensembl
AAGUUUCAAUUUCCCUGGCUUCUGCCGCUUUUAGACUAUCUCCAAAUCACCACCAUCUGAUAACUGAUCCAUAAUAUCUUUUGACCGACAUUCCUUUUCAUCUCUUCAAUAUUACCGACUUUUGUGUAUAUUUUAUGAUAGAGCGUACGAGACGAAGAGACGCAGACAUUAAUUUUAUGCUUUUCUUGUGGAUACGCAGAAAUAA